GGGGGUGAAUGGAAUCGACGGGAUGUGUUGAGGUGAGUAAGCAUGCAGCGCGUUGUGGGAGUAGCGCUAGAAAGCGAACCCUCAAACAAUAUUUGGCAACACUCAGUUCGCUCUCGCGGCCUAAUUAGAUUAGGAAGCUAGACGUCUCUCGGUACGGUAUGCCUGCCCGCUGUACCUAUGAGGCGCUCAUCAAAUGACAGGAUCGGGAUGCGACGCCCUUAAGCAUCCCUAAGAGUUAGGGGAUCCAUCUUCAACCAACGCCCUGCCAUUCGGGUAGGUUGAGGAAAAAAUAAUAGAUUCGGCUAAGCAUGUAGAAAGCUCAUUGAUCCCUUCUCCGGACCCGGGUUCGACUCCCGGCACCUCCACCC
This 368-nucleotide transfer-messenger RNA is filed under the name Bacteroidia. RNAcentral's name for it is "JADKCL01 sp016718825 Standard tmRNA". It matches the Rfam family "transfer-messenger RNA". Rfam says of the family: Bacterial tmRNA, also known as 10Sa RNA or SsrA, is named for its dual tRNA and mRNA-like properties. Its role is to liberate the mRNA from a stalled ribosome. The record is from RNAcentral. Lineage: Bacteria; Pseudomonadati; Bacteroidota. RNAcentral also lists the same sequence under 2 other names.